Molecule: ribosomal RNA, 492 nt
Filed under: uncultured bacterium
Lineage: Bacteria
Description: partial 16S ribosomal RNA
Rfam family: Bacterial small subunit ribosomal RNA
Source: RNAcentral
AUUGAACGCUGGCGGCAUGCUUUACACAUGCAAGUCGAACGGUAACAGGCCUUCGGGUGCUGACGAGUGGCGAACGGGUGAGUAAUGCAUCGGAACGUGCCCAGAGGUGGGGGAUAACGCAGCGAAAGCUGUGCUAAUACCGCAUGUGAUCUGAGGAUGAAAGCGGGGGACCAGGCAGCAAUGUUUGGCCUCGCGCCUUUGGAGCGGCCGAUGUCAGAUUAGGUAGUUGGUGGGGUAAAGGCCUACCAAGCCGACGAUCUGUAGCUGGUCUGAGAGGACGACCAGCCACACUGGGACUGAGACACGGCCCAGACUCCUACGGGAGGCAGCAGUGGGGAAUUUUGGACAAUGGGCGCAAGCCUGAUCCAGCAAUGCCGCGUGCGGGAAGAAGGCCUUCGGGUUGUAAACCGCUUUUGUACGGAACGAAAAGGCUCUGGCUAGUACCUGGGGCUGAUGACGGUACCGUAAGAAUAAGCACCGGCUAACUACGUG